Ursus maritimus (polar bear) is the source of this 2500-nucleotide long non-coding RNA. Ensembl lists it as uncharacterized. The record is from Ensembl. NCBI's taxonomy places the organism in Eukaryota, Metazoa, Chordata, Mammalia, Carnivora, Ursidae.
CCCCCCCCGCCCAAGCUUCCAGAGGGCCUGGCCAGCCCACUGAUCACAGUGACUGGCUUGGGCAAAUGCAUGAGCCAGGCUAGGUCAAACAACAUCAGUCUUGGAUCUGUGCUCUAAGUAACAGGAAGCAGACUUUUCCUUUUCCCUGGGGUUGCUAUGCUGGCCAGCCGGAGCCUUGGGUGCUGGAGGGCAUCUUUAUACCACAUGUGGAGAGCCUGCCUGAGAACCAAACCAAAAGAUGGAUGCAGAACGGAGAGAAGGAAAGGGAUGUGUUUCUGACAUCACAGUUCAGGCCUGCGGAUCCAGCCAUCCCCAAAGCUGGGACCUCUUCAGGACUUGUUUUAGGGGCCAAUAAACCACCUCCCUUGCUUAAACCAGUUGCACUUGGGUUUCGGUUUCUUGCAAAUCAAGUUGUCAUCUGUGCUUCGACCCAGCACUCAGAUGCACCACCCCCACCCCUCCAGGGGCUUUCCGAGAGACCCGGAUAUUGGGGUUGGCCCGCAACUGCACUGCGCCUGUGUCUGCCCCCCACCCUCCAGACCUAGGGAGGAAGCAAACACCAAGCCCCUGGUUCUGGGGCUCCAGGGAAGGCUCAGUUUGAGAAGCACUGCCCGCUCCGUCCAGUCCCUGGGCGGUUACGGAGAUGGCAACCCGAACAAAGCUUUCGAGCAGAGUCCUGGCAUCCUGGCGUGGUUGGGCCCUGCGUGUUUGGCUACUGCUCUCUGUCUCUGGUGCCUCAGAGGUCUCCCAGCCCUCUCUGUUCCAGCCUCAGUCUUCUGUGGUGAGUGGACAAGGCAAUCCACAGAUCUGGUGUGUGGUGCAGGGCAGCCCUGCCACGGCUCAUGUCUUGUCUUGGUACCAGCAGCUGACAGAGAAGGGAUUCCCCCAACCUAUGGUUUGGGUGUGAAUCCUCGUUUCCUGGCAGAGAUGGACCCAGCCAAGAAUGCCGCACUCCUUACCGUGGGCAAUGCCAGCCCAGCUGAUGAGGGCACCUACUACUGUGCCCUGUGGUUUUCAGGCCAGUAUGUCUUUGGAGAAGGUACCCGUCUGCUCUAUCAGGCUAAGAUGCAAUCCCCAGCUUUCCAGCCACCUGAGCUGAGCCUGUUCGUCCCAGCCUCUGGCCCUCCCUUCCAUGUACUUUGUGUGGCCCUAGGACACAACCCUGACCCUCUGAGGGUCUCCUGGGUCCUGAAUGGCCAGUAUCAGGAGGAAGAGGACUCCACUGGAGGAGCUGGGGAUCCUGUGGUCAGCUGGCUGCAGCUGAGUCAGGAGGUGGCAGGAAUGUCUGUGACUUGCCGAGGCUUGCACCAGACUGGAGUCUCAGAAGUUGUGCUGCCCCUGCCCUGCAGCCAAGGGUGUAGAAGAAGGCUAGAACCGGAGAACUGGAAUGAGACUCAUGAGAAGAGUGGACACACUCAUCUAGGUAUGGACCCCCAGACACUGACCCGGGACCUGGACCCCCUAGGUGGCAAAGCCAUGACUUUUCACCAUCAACGACCCACUUAGCAAGCAUUUAUGGAGUAUUAAGUAUUUCCCAGGGCAGAGAGAUGACUGCCAACAGUCUGAACAUUAGUAAGUCUAGAAGGGUAGGUCAGAUACUGAACCAAUGUUUAAAAUGCAAGAAAAACUGCUGUAAGUGUUUUAGGACAGGAACACGGGAUAUUCAGGAGCGCAGAGAGCAGAGGGGCUCUCCUGCAGGAGGGUCUGAGAAGCUCCCAGGGACGAUGCAGAGUCAGAACUGAGCCCUCAGAUUCUGGCUGGAAAGGGUGUAGACCCAGUCACGAGCAGCCGGGUCUAGUCCCAGUUCUACCCUCAACUCUCUGUGGCCCGUUGGGUGAGUCUUUCACCUUCUCUUGGCCUCAGAUCCACCCACUGAUCUACCAUCCCCAGUCCAAACCGUCUUUGCCCUUACAGAUCUUAAGUCUGAGUUUUUUAUGUGUAAAAAUGGGGAGUAAUACCACCUCAGGGAGGAUCAAGUGAGCCAGAGAGAGCUCUUCAGAAGGAGGCAGUGGCGGGGAGAAAACCAUGACGAUGCAGUGUCAGAAGGCUGGGCAGGUCUGACUUUUGCCCUGUGCCCAUUUCCCUCGCAGUGGAGUUGGAACAGACCCUCACUGCUGCCGCCUACUGCUACCUGGGACUGCUGGGUGCAGCUCUGAUCUAUGGCCUGAUUUUGGCUGCCCUCUGGAGGAUUCGCUGCCAUUGGGCCCACCCUAUGGAGCCACUCACCCGAGAUGGUCAAGGAGCAGCCCUUGGUUUCAGGAUGCAGGUGGGCAGAAAGGGCCCUCCUGCCAGGGCCCCAGUGCGCAAGGGGCAGAGCCACAAUGGAUUCCACAUCCUCCGAGGGGCUGCCCGUGCACCAGACCCUCCCUCCUUGCUCCAGCCAGCUUCCUCCUAGUCCGCUGCCUUUCAUUAUCUCGCGGGUCCCCCUUUUCCUCCCAGACUGUCCAAAUUUCUUCCUAAAUACAGGGAAUUUGAGAAGCUACUGCUGUGCUGUUGGUUG